RNAcentral lists this ribosomal RNA (497 nucleotides) under uncultured bacterium. RNAcentral's name for it is "partial 16S ribosomal RNA". It matches the Rfam family "Bacterial small subunit ribosomal RNA", at positions 28 to 507 of the family's 1533-position model. The record is from RNAcentral.
GAUGAACGCUGGCGGCGUGCCUAAUACAUGCAAGUCGAGCGAACGGACGAGAAGCUUGCUUCUCUGAUGUUAGCGGCGGACGGGUGAGUAACACGUGGAUAACCUACCUAUAAGACUGGGAUAACUUCGGGAAACCGGAGCUAAUACCGGAUGAUAUUUUGAACCGCAUGGUUCAAAAGUGAAAGACGGUCUUGCUGUCACUUAUAGAUGGAUCCGCGCUGCAUUAGCUAGUUGGUAAGGUAACGGCUUACCAAGGCAACGAUGCAUAGCCGACCUGAGAGGGUGAUCGGCCACACUGGAACUGAGACACGGUCCAGACUCCUACGGGAGGCAGCAGUAGGGAAUCUUCCGCAAUGGGCGAAAGCCUGACGUAGCAACGCCGCGUGAGUGAUGAAGGUCUUCGGAUCGUAAAACUCUGUUAUUAGGGAAGAACAUAUGUGUAAGUAACUGUGCACAUCUUGACGGUACCUAAUCAGAAAGCCACGACUAACUACGUG